Molecule: ribosomal RNA, 449 nt
Filed under: uncultured bacterium
Lineage: Bacteria
Description: bacterial SSU rRNA
Rfam family: Bacterial small subunit ribosomal RNA
Source: RNAcentral
AACGAACGCUGGCGGCAGGCUUAACACAUGCAAGUCGAGCGCCACCUUCGGGUGGAGCGGCGGACGGGUGAGUAACGCGUGGGAACGUGCCCUUCUCUAAGGAAUAGCCACUGGAAACGGUGAGUAAUACCUUAUACGCCCUUCGGGGGAAAGAAUUUCGGAGAAGGAUCGGCCCGCGUUAGAUUAGGUAGUUGGUGGGGUAAUGGCCCACCAAGCCGACGAUCUAUAGCUGGUUUGAGAGGAUGAUCAGCCACACUGGGACUGAGACACGGCCCAGACUCCUACGGGAGGCAGCAGUGAGGAAUCUUGGACAAUGGGGGCAACCCUGAUCCAGCCAUGCCGCGUGAGCGAUGAAGGCCUUAGGGUUGUAAAGCUCUUUCGCCAGGGAUGAUAAUGACAGUACCUGGUAAAGAAACCCCGGCUAACUCCGUGCCAGCAGCCGCGGUAAU